AGAGUUUGAUCCUGGCUCAGAUUGAACGCUGGCGGCAUGCCUUACACAUGCAAGUCGAACGGCAGCACGGGAGCAAUCCUGGUGGCGAGUGGCGAACGGGUGAGUAAUAUAUCGGUACGUGCCCAGUAGUGGGGGAUAGCCCGGCGAAAGCCGGAUUAAUACCGCAUACGACCUGAGGGUGAAAGCGGGGGAUCGCAAGACCUCGCGCUAUUGGAGCGGCCGAUAUCAGAUUAGCUAGUUGGUGGGGUAAAGGCCUACCAAGGCUACGAUCUGUAGUUGGUCUGAGAGGACGACCAGCCACACUGGGACUGAGACACGGCCCAGACUCCUACGGGAGGCAGCAGUGGGGAAUUUUGGACAAUGGGCGCAAGCCUGAUCCAGCAAUGCCGCGUGCAGGAAGAAGGCCUUCGGGUUGUAAACUGCUUUUGUCAGGGAAGAAAUCUUCUGGGCUAAUACCCCGGGAGGAUGACGGUACCUGAAGAAUAAGCACCGGCUAACUACGUGCCAGCAGCCGCGG
This 517-nucleotide ribosomal RNA is filed under the name uncultured bacterium. Its description in RNAcentral is "bacterial SSU rRNA". It matches the Rfam family "Bacterial small subunit ribosomal RNA", at positions 8 to 520 of the family's 1533-position model. The record is from RNAcentral.